AUACGUAGGGUGCGAGCGUUGUCCGGAAUUACUGGGCGUAAAGAGCUCGUAGGUGGUUUGUCGCGUCGUCUGUGAAAUUCCGGGGCUUAACUCCGGGCGUGCAGGCGAUACGGGCAUAACUUGAGUACUGUAGGGGAGACUGGAAUUCCUGGUGUAGCGGUGAAAUGCGCAGAUAUCAGGAGGAACACCGGUGGCGAAGGCGGGUCUCUGGGCAGUAACGGACGCUGAGGAGCUAAAGCAUGGGUAGCGAACAGGAUUAGAUACCCUGGUAGUCCAUGCCGUAAACGGUGGGCGCUAGGUGUAGGGGUCUUCCACGACUUCUGUGCCGUAGCUAACGCAUUAAGCGCCCCGCCUGGGGAGUACGGCCGCAAGGCUAAAACUCAAAGGAAUUGACGGGG
Molecule: ribosomal RNA, 398 nt
Filed under: uncultured bacterium
Lineage: Bacteria
Description: partial 16S ribosomal RNA
Rfam family: Bacterial small subunit ribosomal RNA
Source: RNAcentral